This 325-nucleotide ribosomal RNA is filed under the name uncultured eukaryote. RNAcentral describes it as "partial 18S ribosomal RNA". It matches the Rfam family "Eukaryotic small subunit ribosomal RNA", at positions 1470 to 1796 of the family's 1831-position model. The record is from RNAcentral.
CCCUUAGAUGUUCUGGGCUGCACGCGCGCUACACUGAUGCGCUCAACAAGUUUAUGACCUUGCCCGGAAGGGUUGGGUAAUCUUCUUAGCACGCAUCGUGAUGGGGAUAGAUUAUUGCAAUUAUUAAUCUUCAACGAGGAAUUCCUAGUAAGCGCGAGUCAUCAGCUCGUGCUGAUUACGUCCCUGCCCUUUGUACACACCGCCCGUCGCUCCUACCGAUUGAAUGCUCAGGUGAGCCAUUCGGACUUUCAUCAUGCUGGUUUCCAGUUUUGAUGAAGGAAAGUCUUGCGAACCUUAUCAUUUAGAGGAAGGAGAAGUCGUAACA